Molecule: long non-coding RNA, 5762 nt
Organism: Mustela lutreola (European mink)
Lineage: Eukaryota; Metazoa; Chordata; Mammalia; Carnivora; Mustelidae
Exons: 5
Source: RefSeq, a predicted model, not a curated record
UUGCACCUUUUUUUUUUUUUUUUUUUUUUUUUUUUUUGGUCCUGGACCCGUCAAGAAAACAAUCUUCCGUUUUUUCCACUUUAAAUAACUACCUCUAUUGGGGAGGGCUCUUUCUAGCGUUUUGGUGCUGAUGAUGGUGGUGGAAUGGGCGAGGGGGGCGAGCUCAGAACUUUGCCUGCCCUGGGAGGGUGGGAGGACCUGGGAGGGAGGAACAAAAGUGGUUUUGUCUGGUGAUGCCGAGUUGACCGGGCAGACUUGGAAGCUCUCACCCGGGAAGGCAGCGAACUGUUUGCUUGUUUACAGAGAAGGUGAGAGUCAAGUUAUCUAUUGAGAGGUGAAUGGGGUGGGGGAGUGCGUCUAUUUGUGGAUUUCAUAGAGGCAUGCUCGGAUCAAAUUCCAAAGCUUUGGUGUGGUGUUUAUUAGACAAGUUAAGUGUGUUGCAAAUUAAUACCCGCACUGGCAUUUAUGAAUGAGAAGAGGGAAAAAAAAAAUCAACUCCCCCCCACUGUCUGGCAGAUUCCCAGGCAGAGGUCUUCCCCCUUCCGCCCCCCUCCCUUUUUUGGUAUGUCGUACUUGUUUGUUUUUGGAGGUUCCCACUUAAGUUCCAGCCCACUGCCUGGGUUGGAAGUCCGAGAGGAAACGAACGCAGGGAAUUCUCUGGGAGACUGACUUCUACUUCCUCACGGAUGCGGGAGACUGGUAAACGACAGCAUCAGAGGAGAGGAACUGCAGCUCCUCAUGUCCUGCUUAAGGAUGGUCCAGAAACCCCAGAUGUCCUGUCGCCUUUUCGCCUCCUCCACUGAGAGCAGCAGAUCAGUUCACGUUGACAGAUUAGAGGGGAAAUGUGCAAUUGUUUAUGGCUUCAGCUGUACAUAAAGGAGCCCUGGUAGCUUCUGCUGAGACUUUUCAGUAGAAAAUCCUUCAAAAAAGAAAAAAGAAAGAAAGAAGCAGCUAUUUUGAAGACUGACUUUCUAAAAUUAUAUUUAGCCUUCCAAUAGACACCAGAUCGCAGAUGCCCCGUCCCAAACAUAAAUCCCCUCCUGUUUACCAAUCCCUCAAAACCUUCAUGACCUUCAUAUAUAACGGGCAUUUUCAAGGAUCUGGCAAGACUGCCGGUUUGGUAAUGCAAGGCAGAAGAUAGUUUUCUCCAUGCCACGGGGAGCAUGGCUUCUAGUUGCUUUGGUCUUUCAUCUCAUCCUAGCAGCCCUUCUACCAUCAAAGAAAGAAGAUUUCUUCCCCUUUGGCUCCAUCCUAUAAACAGUCUCAAGAAUGACUUACACUGGAUCAGCAGAGGUUGCAUACUCCUUCCCCAACCAGACACCAAGCCAGGAAGAUGGGGUAAUAUCCCAAUGUAUUAGCUAGAGAGUAAAAACUUAAAUUUAUUUCUUAACAUGCGUGCCUUUUAAUAGAGAGACUUGUAAACACUUGGGUACUGUCUUACAAAAAGCAGAACUCUCUAAAAAGGGUGACUGGAGGCUGACGCAGAUCGACAUCCUGUUGUAUGAGAAAGUCCUGGGGGAAUUUACUCCUCUAACAGCUUGCUUAAUGUUUUUGCUUCCUGUGGAGUGGGCUGGGGUGGGAAUUUAAAGCAGACUUCUAAAUUGAGUUCUGCAGUGGAGGAACUUCUCUUAAAAUCUCUGCUGGAGUUACUUAAGACAUUGAACUGUCGGGGUGCUUAAAUGACUCAGUCAUUUAAGCGUCUAACUCUUGAUUUUGGCUCAGGUCAUGAUCUCAGGGUCCUGGGACUGAGCCCCAUGUUGGGCUCCAUGCUCAGUGGGGUCUGCUUGAAGUUCCUCUCCCUCUACCCCUCCCCUGCCUGUCUUCCUCAAAUAAAUUAAUUAAUUAAAAAAAAAAAAAAAAGACAUUGAGCUGUUUGCUCUUGGUCCCAGUACUUCAGUGUCCUCUCACUGUUACAUUUGUGGGAGGACAUGGUAUUAUAUUAGAGAUCUGGAGAGCUUGUGACUGGGUGCAGAUCCAGUGUUUUGACUUUUUAUGCCAACAUCAGCAUUUCCCCCACUUGUUUCACAUUUCUCUUGUCAGCUGGGCCCUCAGUUCAAGGUUACCUUGAUUACUUUCUGGUCUUUUUAUUUUUAUUUAUUUUUAAAGAUUUUAUUUAUUUGUUUGACAAUCAGAGAUCACAAGUAGGCAGAGAGGCAGGCAGAGAGAGAGGGGGAAACAGGCUCCCCACUGAGCAGAGAGUGGCUUCAACCCACUGAGCCACCCAGUGGCCCCACUUUCAGGUCUUUUUAAUCAAAAAUCUUUCUUAGCUAUUUUUACUUAAUGUUGUCUCUUACCUGAUAUAGUUUUUGGAAUAUACAGGUGAGGUUUGGUGGGGCCUGGAGCCCACAGCCAAGAAAGAAAUCUUUUUUUAAAAAAUUUUAUUUAUUUGACAGACAGAGAUCACAAGUAGGCAGAGAGGCAGGCAGAGAGAGAGAGAGAAGCAGGCUCCCUCCUGAGCAGAGAGCCCAAUGUGGGGCUCGAUCCCAGGACUCUGGGAUCAUGACCUGAGCCGAAGGCAGAGGCUUUAACCCACUGAGCCACCCAGGUGCCCCACGAAAGAAUUCUUGAGAUGACUUCAGUGCACAGUGGUGGUUUCAUUAAAGCACAGGGACAGGACCUGUGGGCAGAAAGAGCUGCUGCUACCCCACGCCCACCCCGCUUCCUUGCUCCCCCACUGCCCCCAGGCAUAUGAAGGACAGCUGAUUAUAUACUUUGGGGCUGGAGAAUUAAAGAUAAAGGAACUUCCAAAAGGCUUUCAUGCGCUAAAGAAGACACAGGAUGCAGGAGGCCUUACUAUUGUCAAACUAAGAUGGUUUUUCCCUCUAGCAAAGAAUUAACAUUAAGACAUUAUACUCUGCUGCCUCAAGUAUUUGUCAAUGGGCUGCAGGUUACAUGGACAUUUAAUUUGAUCUACAUUUCCUUCUGCCUUUGUUUCCCACAUCAUUACCCAUUACUCUUUUCUAGCACUAAAUUCUUUCCUCUCUCACCUCCCUAAGAAACUAACACCAUCCAAUACUCCAACUUCUAUUUACAUCUUGGAUCACCUCUCUCCACUGCUUCUUUCUCCACAUAUCUACCUACAGUUCUAUCCCCUAAUGAUAUCAUCAAAAGAGGGAAUAUAUGUGGAAGUACUCUAUGUUCUUAAAGUGGAAUAAAAAUAUGAAAUAACAUUGUUUUCCUAUCUUCACAAUCAUCUCAAAAGAUUAUCAAUGUAAUGCAUUUUUUUAGUUUACUUUCUCACUAUUCAACUCAUUACUUAAUGUCUUAAAAUCUGAUGUCUCUUAACCUAUUUGGGGAGAGGGGUGUCCAUAUCUUUGUUGACCCUUCUUCCAGCACAUGGCACAUUUGACUUUGCCCUCCUCUUUUGGUGUUUGCAACUCACUGCCUUGGUUCACUUUCUGUUUCUCUGACUACUCUUCUCUCUCUUUUAAUGCCCAUCUGUUUCCUUCUACCUCUGAAUGUGAGUGAUCUCCAUUAUUCUGCCCUGGUUCCUUCUCACUACACCCCUUCUCUCUUGUUCUCAUAAGUACUACUUCUUCUUUUUUUCUUUUUUCUUUUUUUUUUAAGAUUUUAUUUAUUUAUUUGACAGAGAUCACAAGUAGACAGAGAGGCAGGCAGAGAGAGAGGGGGAAGCAGGUUCCCCGCUGUGUGGAGAGCCCGAUGCGGGGCUUGAUCCCAGGACCCUGAGACCAUGACCUGAGCCAAAGGUAGAGGCUUUAACCCACUGAGCAACCCAGGCACCCCGCUCAUAAGUCCUUCUUGAAAAAAUCCCAAAUCUCUCUCUUCCCUUCAAUGUGUUAAAUGUCUGCUGAUAAUGAUCUCAUUAGCCCCCAAACAUAAGGUAUAUAAAAUAAGCUCUCACCCCAUCCUAAAUACCUUCUACUCUAUCUCAGCCAACAGUGUCACUUUUUCUACCCACUCCCCUAGGCUUGAAACCUUGGUUCCCUCUUUGAUUCCUUGCUCUUUUAUCCGUGAUUCCAAUUUAAGCUAUACUUUUAAGAACAUGUUGUUCUGUUCACCUACCUUCUGUUCACUGUCUCUCCCUUCUGCCUUCUCUUUCUUCAGGCCAGGAUAGUUCAGGCUGCUGGAAUAGCACUCAGUCUAUUAUUCUGCUUUUAGUAAGGUUGUCCAAAAGUAUUUUGUGGCCAUACUUUUGUUUUUUCUCUUCCUCAUUCUUGAUUCUUUCCCUCUUCUGAACUGAAUAAUGACUUGAACUUUAUUCAUAAAGAUCACUAAAUCUUCUACACAAAUACCUUUCUCAAAACCAAAAUAUACACUAACAUGUUUAGAAUGGCCUAUAUAACCUGUAUAGUUAGGUAACGGUCAGAUGUAAGCUGAGCGUUGACUAUAAGCAUUGACCUUAAAAAAUACAUUUCAUAGCUAUGUGUUUCAUUGAUGUAAUUUGCACCUUCAAGUGAAUAACUUCAUAUGAGGAUAACAUUUCAACCAUAUUUGAUUUAGAAAGCUAAAGUUCUUUUUUUAAGAUUUUAUUUAUUUAUUUGACAGACAGAGAUCACAAGUAGGCAGAGAGGCAGGCAGAGAGAGAGGAAGGGAAGCAGGCUCCCUGCUGAGCAGAAAGCCCGGUGUAGGGCUCGAUCCCGGGACUCUGGGAUCAUGACCUGAGCCGAAGGCAGAGGCUUAACCCACUGAGCCACCCAGGUGUCCCGAAAGCUAAAGUUUUGAGGAUCUACUGAUGGGCUAACAAAUGUGCAUUAAGCAUAUUAUUUAAGUUUUGAUACAUCUCCAACAGUCAUCAGCAUAUAAUUCCAGUUUAGAUGUGAACUCAUCAGAAAUAUCAUCCCAGUCUCUAGGGCUCAUGUCGUCUUACUGUAUUUCUGCAGAUCCUAUUAAUAAAGAAUGAUUAAGGACAGCUUUGUUUUUCCCAGUUGCAAUAUUAAAGAUGUAUGUUGUAAUAGUAGCAUACUGUGCAGCUAUAAAAAAAAUAAACUAGAGAGGUUCUUUAUAUGCUUAUAUGGAAAGAUAUGCUUGUAUGGAAAGAUCUCUGUUAUAAACUGAAUGUUUGUGUCCCCCAAUGCAAUUUCUUAUGUUGAAGACUUAAUCCCCAAUGCUAUGGUAUUUGGGGACUAACUAGGGUUAGAUAUGGUCAUGAAGGUGGGAUCCCUGCUCUUAUAAUAAGAGACACUGGAAGAACUACUGUCUCUUUCUGCCUAGUGAGGACACUGUGAGAAGGAACCCUCAGCAAGCCAGGAAGAGAGCUCUCACCAGAACCCAACCACGGCUGGCACCCUGACUUCAGAUUUCCAGUCUGCAGAAAUGUGAAAAAAUAAAUUUCUGUUGUUUAAGCCAUCUAAUCUAUGGGGUUUUGGUAUGGCAGCUCAAGCUGAUUAAUACAAUCUCCAAGAUUUACUUUUAGAUAGGGGUAAAAACCAGUCAAAAUAGUGUACCAUUGGGGUGGAAAAAAACUGAAAAGUAUCUAUCCUUGUACUGGCUUGUGUAUACUUUCUAAAACUCUUGAGACUGAAUGAGAAACUAAUAAUGUUGGUUACUUGUUUUGGGAACUUGGCAAAUAGAGGGCAGGAGUGGAAAGAAGACAUUGAUACAUAUAUAUCUUUCUGUAUUUCUUGAUACUUGGACUAUGUGAAUGUGCCACCACUUCAAAAAUUAAGUAAGUGAAAUUUAUUUAAAAAAUAACAAAUCCAUUCGGAAAAACAAGAUUAUAUUGAAACAAGGAAAAUAUUGAUUAUGUUGAAAGAAAAUUGCUGAUUGGGAGAAUAAUUAUGACAAAAGUUGACAUUUGAGGA